This is an RNA transcript of Triticum aestivum (bread wheat), 3624 nucleotides long. It is a transcript of the gene named phospholipase A1-II 6, with no coding region annotated. The record is from RefSeq and is a predicted model, not a curated record. Lineage: Eukaryota; Viridiplantae; Streptophyta; Magnoliopsida; Poales; Poaceae. The transcript has 5 exons.
GAGCAGGGCAUCGAUCUGGAGGGCGUGGGCGGGAGCGCCCGUGCUCCGGGCCGCAAGGAGGCUCGCGGGUGCAUCGCCUGCGUGCGGCGCAGGGCGCCAGAGUUGAUGCGGCCUCAGCCACUGGUCUAGCGGCGCCCUGCUGCUUGAGUGGGCAGGCGGGCCGGCCAGAUCUGGCCUGGCUGUGGAGGUGGGCGUCCCUGCUGAUGGCGCUGCUGGCCUCCAGAGGGCGGGCGUUCUUGGGCAGCUGGUGCGGGGCGUGCGGCUGCACGUGAGGGCUGGCGCGGAUCUGGGCAUGGCAGCGCGAAGUGGCCGUUUCUCCGCCACUGGUCGGUGGUUGGAGGGGCUGUAGGUGCGCUGGUCUUACACGGUGAUGCUUGGCGAGGUGGGCUACUCGGGUCCACUGGUUGGAUGGUUGAGGUUGCCGGCGAAAGCUGAACUCCGGCAGUGGCCGGAGUUGUCGAUGGCCGCGCCGGCAGGCCGUUUCCUUGCUGAAGCAGCCAGACAUGCCCAUCCGGCUGGAAAGGAAUCGGCAAGCUGCAGACCGAUGAAGCUAAGUAGUUUUGUUAUCUUUGUUUGCACAGCCAGAUAGCACGCCUUCUUGCUGAUUACUUCUUCCCGUACACUCACGUGAAACAACAUAGAUUCACUAAUUGAUUUUGGCCAGAUGCGCUAAUACAGAAAGUUAGCUUGAUUAGUUAAUCUUCAGCUAGAUGAGCGCACACAUGUAACGCACAGAACGCGCAAACACGGGAAAAUCUAUUGGAUGGCAAUAGGUGUGUGACGCACCUAUGUUUUUAUUGUUUUGAUCUGGUGAAGUUCAAAGGGGUUCUUAUUUUCAUAAGGCCAAAUGAUGUUCAUCAGUGCGUUGGAUACCUUUCCUCUUUUUUGCUAUGUAUGUUUUCAUGAUAUUUCUCUUGUCCUUUACAUAAAAUAUCUUUCUAUUACCCCUCGGAUGACUCCCAAAUGUUGUAGUUCAUCUGUCAAAAAAGGUGCUUUGCCUGAUAAUAAUUUUUUUGUUAUAUUUGUUAAAUAGUACACUGCAACAUUGAUUGUGCUAGGCGUGAUGGAAGCGUGAUGCUCGCAGACACUUGUCAAGAUGCGGAAGGAUGGGAACACAGUGGUGGGGAACUUGGGUAUAUGAAUGAUAGACAUGAUCAGAAUAUGCAUGCCACAUUAGGUUGACAUGGAGUGGAGAGGAGCCAAGGUAGGGGUGGUGAAGAGAGUCAUUGGAAGAACAAAGAAUAAGGUAUUUAGCGGGAAAUAAGGCAAAAAAUCAGUUGGACACAUAACGUUUAGCAAAAAUGAGCUCACCAUUUUUGAGUGUUUACUACAUCCUGGUCAUCUACAAGUACUACAAGACAUCAUAUGUAACUACAACCUUCCUCUUCAACAUGUCGUUUAUUUUGCGGGUGUCAUGUCUCUUAUUUUUGCGGGUAGCAGUUAUGUUGAAGACAAUUCUUUAUUUCUUUUGUAAGGUGAAAUACAAGCAUGUUAAUUAUUGUAUGAUGUAGAUUUAUAUAGAGAGAGUGGUUACUACCUUUUUUCCAUUCUAUCCAAAAAACGGAUUGGGUUCUACCAUCAAAAGCGAUAACGGAUAAAAACAAGAAAAAUCAACCAGGAGAGAGGGAGGAGUUGGCCGGCAUGGGGUCAUGAGUGGUACAAACAGGAAGAUGCACGCCCAUGGUUUUGUAGGUUCAGUUUACUGUGGAUUUUCAGUUCUUUUCAUCUCAUAAUUAUCUUUAUUUAUGUGUUAAGCUUUUAUUUUUCUUUUGGUCCUUCCCACUUGAGGCCUCUUGUGCACCUUGAUUUAGUUCUGUUCUUUAUUCGGUGCCAGUGUCUUAGGACAAUACUUUCAUGCAUGGAUUAUUUCCAGCAUUCAAAUUUGGAUACCUUUGUUCCACUAGGUUCGUUGCAUUCACCUUAUUGAAGAUAAUAAACACUUAUUGAGGAACAUGCUAAGGAUGGAGGAACGGACCUCAAGUUCCAGCUGCAUAUUAUUCAGCUUGAUUCAUUGCUCAGGAUUUUUGAAGAUAUGGCUUCUAAUUCCAUCAACCAAGAACUUAAUUCAGAAUCUAAAAUUUAAAGGUGAGGUAGAGGAAUAUUGCCUGUCCUGUCCAGAAACAAUGCUCGUUUUUUUAUUCCAGUCGAUGUAUUUCUUGUGUCUGAUGGAUUGAGUUUUGAGUUGGAACAUAAGUAUAUUAGUGUCAUAGAAUUUGCACAUAUGCUUUAUCCACUUGUGAUUACUAUUUACACAGCAUAUAUUUAUAUUUGGAUUACAGAUUCUCUGUACUUGUUGUUGUACUUUGUGUUUUCUACUGAUUGUGGUGCCUCUUGAAGCAGGGAAAGCUAGGAGUCAUUGAUGACAGGUACGGAAGUUGGUGGACACCUACAAGGAUGUGGAGGUGAGCAUCAUGGUGAUGCGGCACAACCUCGGGGCGGCGCUGGCCACCCUGAACACGUUCGAAAUCUUUGAGAAUGGCCAGUCAUGGCGUUUGCGUUUGUUAGGCCGCGCGUGGGCGGUGCCAGCUUUAAGAAGCGGUUCCGCGUCUACCACGCCCUCCGUGUCCGCAUCGCCCGGGACAUCAUGUCCAGGUACUCGAAGCUGUUGUACCACACCAUGGGGUCCGAGUUGGCCAUCGACAUCGGCACGUCGCCAUACCUGAGGGCGUCGCUGUCCGGUUUAUUUUUGCUGUUCGGAUCCCGCAAGUUUCAGUUGGCGCGGGUGUACAGCAGAGGUAUAUAUGUGAUAAGGUGCUGUGAUCAUGAGAAAAAGUAAGGAACUGCACAUCUGGGCCUCACAUUAAUUACAAAUGUUCAGUGGCUUACAAAGGGUACAUUUUACCUUGUUUGAAUUUCGAAGAUUUAGGCCAUAUACAUUGGUAUGUGAGACGUUGUGUCUUCCCAUAGAGAUACCAUCUAGAUUUUUAUUUUAUUUUGGAGUUGGAAGAAGGAUGAAUAAGAUGGAAGGAUGCCCCUUAAUCCGUAAGAGAAUACAUUUAGGUCAAAAUAUAAUUCUGUGGCUGAACUUUUACACUGGUCAGGCUUAGGUUUGGGCUGAGCAAAUAGUUUAAUUGGUGUUAAUGAGCCCAACAAAUGCAAGUUCAUCGAUUUCUCAUGAUAUGCUUUUGAUCUUUACCAAAAUAUGCAUUAUACCAUAUUCAUAUGUUCGUUUCCUAUGUCAGGUAUGCCGUACAGAGGGGAUCAAGCUGUAUAUUGCUAUGUGGAAUGCUUUGAUUCGAGGUGCUGUCGGGUUGGGAGCAUGAAACAUGCUCUGUAGUUCUUUGGUUCAAUGCAGGAGGAAGGGAUGUACAUAGACCCGAAGAUCUUUAUUAAGAUCAUCCACGGGUUGUGGAAGCAAGGGGAGUGAGAUUAAAUCAAGAAGUUUUUUGACAAAAUGAGGAUUCAAUGGCUCAAGGAGAAUAUCCUGCUUCUGGUACUUGCCUUCUACCUCACAAUGUUAACACAAAAGUUACUAUAUCUGUAAGACAUGCCCUCUCUCGUUUAAUGAUGUCCUGAAAUUUCCACAUAAAACUUGGUAAUCAUGCCAAGUAAUCAUGCUAAUUUUGAGAGAAGUUCAAGUGGCAUGCCCCCAUUUGCCAUGGUUGCGAUGUACUAAUAAGCUGC